Molecule: ribosomal RNA, 406 nt
Filed under: uncultured bacterium
Lineage: Bacteria
Description: partial 16S ribosomal RNA
Rfam family: Bacterial small subunit ribosomal RNA
Source: RNAcentral
GACGAACGCUGGCGGCGUGCUUAACACAUGCAAGUCGAACGAGUGGCGAACGGGUGAGUAUUACGUGAGUAACCUGCUCUCACUGUGGGAUAAGCCUGGGAAACUGGGUCUAAUACUGCAUAGUUGGGGAUGGGCUCGCGGCCUAUCAGCUUGUUGGUGGGGUGGUGGCCUACCAAGGCGGGGACGGGUAGCCGGCCUGAGGGGGUGGACGGCCACACUGGGGCUGGGACACAGUCCGGACUCCUACGGGAGGCAGCAGUGGGGAAUAUUGCACAAUGGGCGCAAGCCUGAUGCAGCGACGCCGCGUGAGGGAUGGAGGCCUUCGGGUUGUAAACCUCUUUCGCCAGUGAAGCGGUAGCUGGAUAAGAAGCGCCGGCUAACUACGUGCCAGCAGCCGCGGUAAUAC